RNAcentral lists this ribosomal RNA (253 nucleotides) under uncultured bacterium. RNAcentral describes it as "partial 16S ribosomal RNA". It matches the Rfam family "Bacterial small subunit ribosomal RNA", at positions 524 to 776 of the family's 1533-position model. The record is from RNAcentral.
UACAGAGGGGGCAAGCGUUGUUCGGAAUUACUGGGCGUAAAGGGCGCGUAGGCGGAACUUCAAGUCCGGUCUGAAAGCCCCCGGCUCAACCGGGGAGGGUGGCUGGAAACUGGGGUUCUUGAGGGCGAGAGAGGAGGGUGGAAUUCCUGGUGUAGCGGUGAAAUGCGUAGAGAUCAGGAGGAACACCCGGGGCGAAGGCGGCCCUCUGGCUCGACCCUGACGCUGAGGCGCGAAAGCGUGGGGAGCGAACGGG